RNAcentral lists this ribosomal RNA (496 nucleotides) under uncultured bacterium. RNAcentral describes it as "partial 16S ribosomal RNA". It matches the Rfam family "Bacterial small subunit ribosomal RNA", at positions 29 to 507 of the family's 1533-position model. The record is from RNAcentral.
AUGAACGCUGGCGGCGUGCCUAAUACCUGCCAGUCGAGCGAACGGACGAGAAGCUUGCUUCUCUGAUGUUAGCGGCGGACGGGUGAGUAACACGUGGAUAACCUACCUAUAAGACUGGGAUAACUUCGGGAAACCGUAGCUAAUACCGGAUAAUAUUUUGAACCGCAUGGUUCAAAAGUGAAAGACGGUCUUGCUGUCACUUAUAGAUGGAUCCGCGCUGCAUUAGCUAGUUGGUAAGGUAACGGCUUACCAAGGCAACGAUGCAUAGCCGACCUGAGAGGGUGAUCGGCCACACUGGAACUGAGACACGGUCCAGACUCCUACGGGAGGCAGCAGUAGGGAAUCUUCCGCAAUGGGCGAAAGCCUGACGGAGCAACGCCGCGUGAGUGAUGAAGGUCUUCGGAUCGUAAAACUCUGUUAUUAGGGAAGAACAUAUGUGUAAGUAACUGUGCUCAUCUUGACGGUACCUAAUCAGAAAGCCACGGCUAACUACGUG